GUGAUAUUUUUAUUUAUUUUAUUUUUUUAUUUAUAUUUAUUAUUU
Molecule: non-coding RNA, 45 nt
Filed under: Heterosigma akashiwo
Lineage: Eukaryota; Raphidophyceae; Chattonellales; Chattonellaceae
Source: RNAcentral